UAUAACAAGUGCAGAAAGCUUUUAUUAGAACUAAUCUAAUCAACAAAAUUUUGUUCGUUUUCUCUCUUAUCUUUUAAAGAGAUAAAAUUCUCUCUAUUUUCAUUCUUAUCAAUAUCAAAUAUUUCGGAAGGAAUAGAGAAAAAUAAAGAUAAUUUUGUUUUUUGAUGUUUAUAUUUCGAUCUUAGAUCGAUCUUGUCUUCGCGUUAGGUGAUUGUCUCUUUGCUUAGGCAAUCUUUGCGGUGGUGUUUCGAUCAUUUUCUGGGCAAAUAUUCAGUUUCUUAUUUAUUUUAUGGGAUUGAUUGGAUAAAUAAAGUUAUGAUCUUGAUGAUCGGAUUUGUCUGAGCUUCUUCCCUCACAAAAAUUGAUUUAUCCCGACUGUUUUCUUUGGAGUUCUUCUUCUCGUUGGUUAUCCUCCAAAUAUAUCAACCUUUGCUAUUAUGUUAUCUAAGCAAAGUGUUCUUACAAGAUGAAGAUUGAGUUUUGCAAGUUUUUCUUAACGAUUUGUUUCAGUUUAAAAAUAGUAGAAGCUUGUUAUAUGCAAGUAUUUCAACAAAGACUGAUAACAAAUCAUUUCAAGUUUUUUGGCGGUUACACAUCUAGCGAAAAGAAUGAAACUUUCGAUGAAGACAGAGGCGUUUUAGGGAAAAAGAAGCACGGAAGUGGAAUUAAAUUAGGGAUGGAUCUCUAGCUCUAUGAUUGUCUCGUAACAAAUCUCUGGAGUUUAAGCGGCCUUUGUUCCGGCGAUGUCGUAGUCGGUCUUUGUUCCAGCAAGGAUCUAAACCCUUCCCCAUUUAAGGACACGUCGAAGACCACGUAGGAACACAUGUUGUUCAAUGCAUAUGUCUAUCUUUAUGUUUGGCAUUUAUGUGGGUUUAAUUAAUUUGUGUAAUGGGUUUGACUUUCCACUUGUAUUUCUAAGCCUUAAAGGCUAUAGCCUUUAAGUCUAGUCUAAGUCUUCGAAACCCUAGCCGUCGCGAGCAAGUAUCUACCGUGCCGCUUGUCAAAGACCGGCUUCGAUGGCUCCAUCAGCAUCGGAGUAGUAUAUUUGAAGCAUCUCAGAUACCGGCGAGAUGCAUGGUUUCAGAUCUGAUUGUCUCCUUCCUUCUGUUGAAGCCGGAGAUCUGGAUCUACUAGAUUGACGGUGGGAUUUGUUCCCUUCUCUUGGUGUCGUUAAGCGUGGGUGAAGGUAUUUUGUGACGUGUUGGUAUUAGCUUGAAGUCAUGAGACUGCUGCUUAUGUUCAGUUCUUGGUGUCAUGGUCUCUUCAUCUCAACCUAAGUUCGUUAUUUGGAUCCGUCUUUGUGAUUUUUGUUCGAUGUGGAGGUAUCUACUAGACCUUUUCUUGGUCCUCUGUGGAUAUGGGAUAUGGUUUUUAGACGAAGCAGAUGACUUGUUCUUCAGUUCUUCUCUUGCGAGGAGGUGGGCAGUCUUUGUUCUGUAGGUCAUUUGGUUUUCUUGCGGUGUUCGCGUGUAAGAGCUGGUGGUCUUCUUUGACGUUUUCUCAAGUGGCGUUUCAAGUUCUUUGGUCCUUGUACCUUAGUUAUAGUGAGGGAUUUUGGUCAUGCAAGUUUCAGAUGGAUAGUAGCUGCUGGAGUUGAUGUAGAUUUGACCUCGAGAUUGUUUCUGAUGUUGAUGUUCUAGUUUGGCUUGGUGAUGUUUCAUUCAGGGUUGGGAUCGCUCAAGACUUUUGCUCUUUAGUGUUACCAUGUUCUAUGGAAAUGUAGUUAGUAAUUAUUUGAUCAUCAGUCUCAGCUCUAGUUCCACUGUCUCUAAAUAUUACUUGUCUACUGUUUUAAAAUUUAUCGGUUGUUUUGGUUAGUA
Molecule: long non-coding RNA, 1820 nt
Organism: Brassica oleracea var. oleracea
Lineage: Eukaryota; Viridiplantae; Streptophyta; Magnoliopsida; Brassicales; Brassicaceae
Exons: 2
Source: RefSeq, a predicted model, not a curated record